CGCAAGUAGAGUGGCGAACGGGUGAGUAAUGCAUCGGAACAUAUCCAGUAGCGGGGGAUAACCUGUCGAAAGAUAGGCUAAUACCGCAUACGACCUACGGGUGAAAGCGGAGGACCGCAAGGCUUCGCACUAUUGGAGUGGCCGAUGUCGGAUUAGCUAGUUGGUGAGGUAAAAGCUCACCAAGGCGACGAUCCGUAGCUGGUCUGAGAGGACGACCAGCCACACUGGAACUGAGACACGGUCCAGACUCC
Molecule: ribosomal RNA, 251 nt
Filed under: uncultured bacterium
Lineage: Bacteria
Description: partial 16S ribosomal RNA
Rfam family: Bacterial small subunit ribosomal RNA
Source: RNAcentral